CUCUCUCUCUCUCUCUCUCACACACACACACACACACACACACACACACUGUAGUAAGUACAGAAAUUAAUCAAAUAUAAGUGAAUAAAUUUAUCAGUUCUUUCUAAGAUCAACCAUGAACUCUAUGAUUCUCAGACCCAGUAUAUGGAAACUAUAUGUAAGUUGGCUCCUAAAAUUGUGACUCUCUCUGACUUGAGACCUAACAUGGGCAGAGUUCUUAGAAGAAAGAAAGAAUCUCUUCCAUUGUUCUAUUUGCUUAUUAAGAUUUUGUCUUUUUCAAAUAUCUUCCUUAUGCAGACUUUUCUGCUUUGUUUGAGAUAAGAUUUUCUAGGUAGCCUGUGCUGGCCUGGAAUUCACUGUUACCCAGGAUGACCUUGAGCUCAUGGUCCUUCUUUUUCUCCACGAAUGGAAUUACAUGGAAUUACAGGUGUAAUUAUACUGCUUCAUGUACUGGGUUCCCAACUUUGUGUGAAGUUCUACCUUUGAGAAAAACUUUUGUGUGGUCCAUGGACACAAUUUUUUCUUUGUUUUAUUGUAUCAAAGUACUCCCUAAUAGUCUUUUCCUGUGAAUACAUGUCAUUUGUAAGCUAUGGGCUCCUAAGCAGUGUUGAAUCUAUAUUCACUUCUUCCUGAUGCAUAGCAGCUCUGGUUUAUAAGCAAGUAAGAGAGUAAAUUUCUCUCUAUUUCAAUGAAGUUAAAAUAUAAAGCCUUGACUAUCAGACAUGAAUCAUAAUACUGCUUAGACUAAUAUAUUAUUUGAGUAUAUCAAAUGCUGCAUCGAUUAAUCUUAAUCAUUUCUAUUCUUUUAAAAUAUCAACAGUUAAAAAUUGCAUAUCUUAUUAUUAAAAAUGGUUUGAGCUGAGAUGUAAUCUCUCAAAUGAUGGAAUGAAAAUAAGAACAGGAUAAGGCAGAGAACCAUUUUUCUUCCUAAAAACUUGAAAUAAAUUGAGAUGUAAAAAAAGUUACACAUUGUUAAAUAAAUCAGAGGUCUUAUGACGUCUCUAAUAUUUUAUAACAGGUUUUUGACUUGAUUUAUGUAUUUAAAAUAACUAGCAAGGUAUUCUUUAAAUGCUAAAACAUAAAUUACAAAUGGAAAGCCUUGGUUUAUGUAAAUGGUGGAUGAUGUGUGGGAUGUGGCAAGUGAUUGCUGAGUUCUGCAGUAUUCCCAAGAUGGGGCGAUAGGGCCACAAAGUACAGGAGAAAAUGCUGCCUUAGGCUCCAUUUGUUGACUCAUAGGUGCAGGCUGUCUUCCAGGAAGUGAUAGAAUCUUGAUGGGAACUUUCACUUGUGUUUCAGAUAUCCAGAUUUUAGUGAAAGCUGCUGGACAGGUCUCAGCAACUCCAUGUCACUGUGGCAGACCAGAUGUGUGCAGAAGUCUGCAAGGAGAGUGUAGAACUUGGAACAGAUUGUCUUCUUAGGUGCACACAGGCUGACACUCGAUGGACACAUGCCAUUGAAAUAAACCGGGACUAACUACUUUGUGUCUCCCAGAGCCCUUCCUGUGCCUGCCCCUCUUCCUCUUCCACUCAAGAAAUCAUGUUAGCAGGUGGACCUGUCUCCCUGAGGGAAGGAAAGCAGUGGGAGAUCUUCAGGCUGAGCCAGGACAACAGGAAUUGUGCAGCUUCAAGCCUAAGCUUUCCAGAGGCGCCCCAAGGUUGCAGACAACACAGAUUCUGGCUAGAAUUUAUUGGAUGAACAGUCAGAUCCUGAAAUUUAGGAGUUGAAGCAGCAAGCAGUUUGAUGAUACAAGUCGUGGAUCUCUGGGGCCUCAGAAGCAGAUUGUUAUGGAUCUUCCUCUGGAAUGUUGAUGCCUUUAUUUCUCAUUUUUAGUGACCUGUCAUCAGUUGCCAGGAAGACAGGGCUGUGUCCCACAGCAUGGACACUGAUAUCAUUUCUCUGAUUCAGGAAUACUUCACAGGGAAAAGGGAAUGUUGGGAGACUAAUAUAUUUUAAAGUUUCUUUUUUUAUUUUAUUUGAAAUAUUUAUGUAGUAUAGAAAAACUAGUUUUAGAGAUGACAAAUGUUAUUAAUUUAGAUGACAGUUUACCAUAAAAGAGAGACAUAAGAAAUAUUUAUGUGCUGGGCAGGAGGCAUAACUCAGUGGUAGAAUGCUUGGCUAGCAUGCAUGAGGCCCUGGGUUCAAUCCCAAGAAAACUUCCUUCCCCCAAAAAA
Molecule: long non-coding RNA, 2171 nt
Organism: Peromyscus eremicus (cactus mouse)
Lineage: Eukaryota; Metazoa; Chordata; Mammalia; Rodentia; Cricetidae
Exons: 4
Source: RefSeq, a predicted model, not a curated record